This 497-nucleotide ribosomal RNA is filed under the name uncultured bacterium. RNAcentral describes it as "partial 16S ribosomal RNA". It matches the Rfam family "Bacterial small subunit ribosomal RNA", at positions 28 to 507 of the family's 1533-position model. The record is from RNAcentral.
GAUGAACGCUGGCGGCGUGCCUAAUACAUGCAAGUCGAGCGAACGGACGAGAAGCUUGCUUCUCUGAUGUUAGCGGCGGACGGGUGAGUAACACGUGGAUAACCUACCUAUAAGACUGGGAUAACUUCGGGAAACCGGAGCUAGUACCGGAUAAUAUUUUGAACCGCAUGGUUCAAAAGUGAAAGACGGUCUUGCUGUCACUUAUAGAUGGAUCCGCGCUGCAUUAGCUAGUUGGUAAGGUAACGGCUUACCAAGGCAACGAUGCAUAGCCGACCUGAGAGGGUGAUCGGCCACACUGGAACUGAGACACGGUCCAGACUCCUACGGGAGGCAGCAGUAGGGAAUCUUCCGCAAUGGGCGAAAGCCUGACGGAGCAACGCCGCGUGAGUGAUGAAGGUCUUCGGAUCGUAAAACUCUGUUAUUAGGGAAGAACAUAUGUGUAAGUAACUGUGCACAUCUUGACGGUACCUAAUCAGAAAGCCACGGCUAACUACGUG